GCGCCUGUAGCUCAGUUGGAUAGAGCAGCGGCCUUCUAAGCCGACGGUCGGGAGUUCGAAUCUCUCCAGGCGCGCCG
RNAcentral lists this transfer RNA (77 nucleotides) under Myxococcales bacterium SG8_38. RNAcentral's name for it is "tRNA-Arg". It matches the Rfam family "tRNA". Rfam says of the family: Transfer RNA (tRNA) molecules are approximately 80 nucleotides in length. Their secondary structure includes four short double-helical elements and three loops (D, anti-codon, and T loops). Lineage: Bacteria; Pseudomonadati; Myxococcota; Myxococcia; Myxococcales. The record is from RNAcentral.